GACGAACCGUCCUAACGUUAUUCGGAAUCACUGGGCUUAAAGGGCGCGUAGGCGGACGAGCAAGUCCGGAGUGAAAUCCUUCGGCUUAACCGGAGAAGUGCUUUGGAUACUGCUCGUCUUGAGGGAGGUAGGGGCAUGUGGAACUUCUGGUGGAGCGGUGAAAUGCGUUGAUAUCAGAAGGAACGCCGGUGGCGAAAGCGACGUGCUGGCCCUCUUCUGACGCUGAGGCGUGAAAGCUAGGGGAGCAAACGGG
Molecule: ribosomal RNA, 253 nt
Filed under: uncultured bacterium
Lineage: Bacteria
Description: partial 16S ribosomal RNA
Rfam family: Bacterial small subunit ribosomal RNA
Source: RNAcentral